UGGAAGUAAAAAAUGGUAACAAGGUUUCCGUAGGUGAACCUGCGGAAGGAUCAUUA
Molecule: ribosomal RNA, 56 nt
Filed under: Phytophthora capsici
Lineage: Eukaryota; Oomycota; Peronosporomycetes; Peronosporales; Peronosporaceae
Description: partial 18S ribosomal RNA
Rfam family: Eukaryotic small subunit ribosomal RNA
Source: RNAcentral